This 235-nucleotide ribosomal RNA is filed under the name uncultured bacterium. Its description in RNAcentral is "partial 16S ribosomal RNA". It matches the Rfam family "Bacterial small subunit ribosomal RNA", at positions 96 to 334 of the family's 1533-position model. The record is from RNAcentral.
UGGCGGACGGGUGAGUAAUGUCUGGGAAACUGCCCGAUGGAGGGGGAUAACUACUGGAAACGGUAGCUAAUACCGCAUAACGUCGCAAGACCAAAGAGGGGGACCUUCGGGCCUCUUGCCAUCGGAUGUGCCCAGAUGGGAUUAGCUAGUAGGUGGGGUAACGGCUCACCUGGGCGACGAUCCCUAGCUGGUCUGAGAGGAUGACCAGCCACACUGGAACUGAGACACGGUCCAG